UGGCUCUGGCAUCGAUGAAGAACGCAGCGAAAUGCGAUAAGUAGUGUGAAUUGCAGAAUUCAGCGAAUCAUCGAAUCUUUGAACGCACAUUGCGCCCCUUGGCAUCCCUCGGGGCAUGCCUGUUCGAGCGUCAUCUGACCCCUCAAGCACUGCUUGGUGUUGGGCGCCUGUCCCGCCUCCCGCGCGCGGACUCGCCCCGAAGACAUUGGCGGCCCGUCCACCGGCCACGAGCGCAGCACUCGCGCCCGCGUGGCCUGGCGGCGGGCGUCCAGGAAGCGUCCACCCCCCGAACUUUGACCUCGGAUCAGGCAGGGAUACCCGCUGA
This 325-nucleotide unclassified non-coding RNA is filed under the name uncultured fungus. RNAcentral's name for it is "partial contains 5.8S ribosomal RNA and internal transcribed spacer 2". The stretch from base 1 to 133 matches the Rfam family "5.8S ribosomal RNA", at positions 22 to 154 of the family's 154-position model. Lineage: Eukaryota; Fungi. The record is from RNAcentral.